AAAAAUCCAGCUAAUUACAGAAUUAGGCUCUAAAUCUUGCCUCGUUUUUUCAGUCAUUGAACGAUUUUGCCUGCCACCUGAAGGCAAAGUUACAUACAAACAGAUACUGAAGUUGACGAAGAAAUAUUCAGUGACCUCCUUAGACAAGGCAAUGUGGUACUGACAGUUUUCUGCUAUGAUGGUGAGAUACCAAAGCAAAUUAAAUCAACUGUUAUACAGAUUUUACCAAAGAAUGUCACUGAUGUCUAUUGUCUCUUUCUUCAGAGUUCUCAGAAUGGUCAUCUGCUUCUGAGUCUGACUCGAGCUUCGACUCAAAUGCAUCAACAUCAACAAUACUAAUGGAUGAGAUACCACGCAAGAAGCAAAAACCUGAGAAUCCUAAUAACUCAAUGUCUGCUAAGAAUGUAACAAUAUUUUUUGUCUGCUAACACAUCUAGUAAGUACCUAGAUAUAUCUGAAGAUAGUUGACUGUUCAGAGUACUCAUAAAGUUCUGAUAUUAUAUCUGAAAACUUUUAUAAAUUUGUCCUCAGGCUAUGACCAAGAAACGGCCUCGCUGUUACUUCUCUUACAUCUCCUUCCACCGCAACCAGGAGGACAGAAGUCUCCAAAAAUCAGUGCAAGUGAUGCAGUUGAGAGACUUGUUGUCUUUCAUAAGUCAUGCUGCAGUUUAGAGGAGCAUCUCCGGGGUCAACAGGGUCUGCAGCCAUACCUCCUUGCUGUUGGGCGUCAGAGAAGCAAGAUUGACAGCUUCUACAUCGUCAUGGAUAAGUGCCUCAUCCCACGCCAGACAAACGGUUCUCUUGGAGCAUUUGAUGAGCUAUUCAAAGCACAUUUUGUGAACAUUGUCUUUUCUCCUAUUCUCCCUAUGGGUAUGACGAUAUAUUUGAAGCAUUUGAUUGUUGAACACCAUAGACUCUUUAAGUUCUUAUAUUCACAUCGAAAUUUGAUACCUAAGCAUCAUUUUAUGAUCCACUAUCCAUCUUCCAUUAGGAAAAUAGGUCCAUUGUUACAUAUGUGGUCUAUGAGGUUUGAGGCUAAACACAAAAUGUUUAAAGAAUAUUUUAAAAACUUUAAAAAUAUAACCAAAUCACUUGCGAAAAAGCAUCAGAUGGCCACAGCUUAUCAUUGGGAAACAAUAAGUAUUAAAGAAAAUGAGCAUGGGCCUCUCAAACCAUUUUCACUUAAAGAUGAAGAUGUGGUCAACAAAGAAAUGCUUCAAAUGAUUUCAUCAGGAGAUGUUUUCUCAACCAGCUGGGUUAGAGUUGAGGGUGUUGAAUACAGACCAGGACUUGCUGUUUGCAGCACAAUUCAAGAUGAGAUGCCAGUGUUUUGUCAGAUAAGUGAUGUACUUUUAGUUGACAAUACCUUUCUUUUGUUAUCUAAACAGCUAUUCACAGAAACAUUUGAUGAUCAUCAUCAUGCUUUCAGGAUUGUUCAAAGUGAAGAAAGGCAUUUAGUAAAGAAAACUUAAAUUUCAUAAGCCUUUUGAUAUUCAAAACUCUUAUGGCGUUUCUAAUGAAUGCUUGUUCAUCGUACCACAAUUUAAAAUGUUGGAAACACAGCUGCAAAAAUAAAGUGUUCAAAAUUGA
This is a long non-coding RNA of Xiphophorus hellerii (green swordtail), 1590 nucleotides long. RefSeq lists it as uncharacterized. The transcript has 2 exons. NCBI's taxonomy places the organism in Eukaryota, Metazoa, Chordata, Actinopteri, Cyprinodontiformes, Poeciliidae. The record is from RefSeq and is a predicted model, not a curated record.